Molecule: ribosomal RNA, 503 nt
Filed under: uncultured Glomeromycotina
Lineage: Eukaryota; Fungi; Glomeromycota
Description: SSU rRNA
Rfam family: Eukaryotic small subunit ribosomal RNA
Source: RNAcentral
UUGGAGGGCAAGUCUGGUGCCAGCAGCCGCGGUAAUUCCAGCUCCAAUAGCGUAUAUUAAAGUUGUUGCAGUUAGAAAGCUCGUAGUUGAAUUUUGGGUUUGGCCGGUUGGUCCGUUCUUGUAACGAGUACUGGUCGGUUGGGCCUCACCGCUUGGGGAAGUGUAAUGCCCUUUAUUGGGUGUUGCUCGGAGCCAAGACCUUUACCUUGAAAAAAUUAGAGUGUUUAAAGCAGGCUUAUGCCAGAAUACACUAGCAUGGAAUAAUAGAAUAGGACAACGAUUCUAUUUUGUUGGUUUCUAGGACCGUUGUAAUGAUUAAUAGGGAUAGUUGGGGGCAUUAGUAUUCAAUUGUCAGAGGUGAAAUUCUUGGAUUUAUUGAAGACUAACUACUGCGAAAGCAUUUGCCAAGGAUGUUUUCAUUAAUCAAGAGCGAAAGUUAGGGGAUUGAAGACGAUCAGAUACCGUCGUAGUCUUAACCAUAAACUAUGCCGACUAGGGGGAUC